UACGGGGGGGGCAAGCGGUUGUUCGGAAUUACUGGGCGUAAAGGGUUGUAGGGUGGCCAACUAAGUCAGACGUGAAAUCCCUCAGCUUAACUGGGGAACUGCGUCUGAUACUGGUUGGCUUGAGUGCAGGAGAGGAAUGCGGAAUUCCAGGUGUAGCGGUGAAAUGCGUAGAUAUCUGGAGGAACACCGGUGGCGAAGGCGACCUUGUGACUG
RNAcentral lists this ribosomal RNA (213 nucleotides) under uncultured bacterium. RNAcentral's name for it is "partial 16S ribosomal RNA". It matches the Rfam family "Bacterial small subunit ribosomal RNA", at positions 524 to 736 of the family's 1533-position model. The record is from RNAcentral.